This 461-nucleotide ribosomal RNA is filed under the name uncultured organism. RNAcentral's name for it is "bacterial SSU rRNA". It matches the Rfam family "Bacterial small subunit ribosomal RNA", at positions 28 to 507 of the family's 1533-position model. The record is from RNAcentral.
GAUGAACGCUGGCGGCGUGCCUAACACAUGCAAGUCGAACGUGAGGGUGCAGCGAUGUGCCUGAAAGUGGCGAACGGGUGAGUAACACGUAGGUGACCUGCCCUGAAGUGGGGGAUAACCACUGGAAACGGUGGCUAAUACCGCAUGAGCCUUGCUGGGUGGGAAUUUAGCAAGGGAAAGCUUUAGUGCUUCAGGAGGGGCCUGCGUCCGAUUAGCUAGUUGGUGGGGUAAAGGCCUACCAAGGCGAUGAUCGGUAGCUGGUCUGAGAGGAUGAUCAGCCACACGGGAACUGAGAAACGGUCCCGACUCCUACGGGGGGCAGCAGUGAGGAAUAUUGCUCAAUGGGCGAAAGCCUGAAGCAGCAACGCCGCGUGGAGGAAGAAGGUCUUCGGAUUGUAAACUCCUUUUCUUAGGGACGAGGAAGGACGGUACCUGAGGAAUAAGUCACGGCUAACUACGUG